CGUCCCCAAGCCCGGGGUAGGUCCCAUCCAGCUGCGCUGUCUCACACAGCCUGUGGGGAAGCACAGCUGUCAGGGCUGGAUUUUCAGGAUUAGUUUGGUUGAAGAUGCCGAAACCCAGCUCCCGUGGCUGAUACCAAAGGGGGCAUUCCCAGUGGGAAGCAGCAGGGCCUCCAGGAAGCAGGAGGCAGAAUCAGAGACCCCCAGGGCUGGGCUCCUCGCCUCUGCAUCGGUUCCUACCACAGGCUGAAAACAAAUUGUUGCAAGUCACAUCCUCAGCCGCCACAGAGGGAUCGACUUUCUCACUGCGGCAUCAGUGACAAGUCAGAUGUCCGUCACUGUGCCCAAAGGCACAGGGGCCCUGCCUGGUCCUGCUCUGGUGAGGUGCCCAUCCUUAUGCACCAAGAAAUUGUGGUCAGGGGAGGCAGCAGGACGAGAUGAGGAAACUGAGGCUCCCAGAGCAGAAGGAACUUGCUGGAGGUCACACAAUGAGUAAGCAGCAGAACUGGGACCCAAGCCCAGAUCCAUCAGGCUCCAGAGAGUCUGUGCUCUAACAACCAGGAGGCCCUGCCCAUUCUGCAGUCUGAAACCCCACAGAGGUAAGAGGGUGGUUCCAGGAGACAGGGACAAACCUGAGAGCCCCCUGGCUCAGGACGCCAGGGAAGAUGGCGCUCUGCCCUCGGGUCCCAUCGCCCCACUCAGAGGGCCCAGCUGAGUGAGCACGCUCACGCUUCGCGGCCCAAGCCAUUGCCAGUAAAUUACUCCCAGUAACGGGGUGUUUGCCCAGGGAAUUAAAGAGGCAGUAAACAGUUGCCAGAGUAAUUAGACACGAAUGGCGGACGUGCCAGGCUUCUCAACGCCGGGAAGCAACUUCCAUAGUAGCCUCCCUCUGCAGGGCGAGAUGAGACCACUGGGUUGCGAUUGUCAAGUUAAGCAGCUGAGAGCCAGAGAAUCAAAGAGACGGCAAGACAUUGCUGGGGGGAGACAGGGUAACCUUGGAAACUACUGCAUAUAAUCCCCUCCGUAUACAGACGGAGAAACUGAGGCCCAGGGAGGGAGAACAGACCUGCCCAGGGACACCCAGCAGAUUAGAGGGAGAGGUAGGUCUGGAGCCUCGGUCUCAUGGGAAGCAGGUCAAGCCAGUUCCUGGCACACUUGGUUACGCACCGUUCAAGGUCAUCUUGGGGAGAAGGGUCACAGCUCUGGCAGUUAAUGGGGGCACAGGUAACAGCGAUGAUGAGUGAAACUUUGGGCACACAUUCAUUCAUUCGUUUAAUGAGUAUUUAUUAAGUUCCUACUAUAUUCUGGGUUCUGUUCUAGGCUCUGGGGAACAAGGCAAGCAAAAGUCCCUGUCCUCAGAGAGCUGACACUCCAGAAACACAGAACCCAAAGGCAAGUCGGGAACUCAGGAGGCUCACAGGGGCCUAGGCAAAGGGAGGUGCAGAGACAGCAAGGAGGUGGAGUUCAGGGGAAAAUGCAUACAUGAGCACCCUCUCCCGCUUCCACAUGGCCUGGGAAAGGGAUCGAGAUUCCAGAGGAGCCAUCUGGCCCUGUCUGGCUCAGAACCUGCCUCUGGGCCUUCCCAGAUCAGGCUAGUGGACACACAGCAGCUGUGAGAAGUGCAGGCACAGAGCUGGGCCUGGCAGCCACCCACACCUGCAGUUCCAGCCACAAGAGCAGGGCCACAGAGAGCCACAACCCACAGAUGGAGCAUAGUGAACCACUGCAGAUGGGCCUGAGGCAGGGCAGCAGCCCCUAAUGGGGGAACAGGAAGAUUUGCAGACAGGUAGUGGACCCCUGGAAUCUCAUGGACCUGCAUUCAAUCCCAGCCCUGCCGCUCACUUGCUGUGCUACACUAGGCAAGUUACUGAUCUCACUGAGCCUCGGGUUUCUCAUCUGCAAAGAGGUUAGAAAUGAAAGUCUUUAAGCGCUGACCGUCCAUAAUCAGAGCUUUGAGCAGCAGACAGUUCGCAAGAUUAAAGCUGGGAGGCACAGCAGGUACUGUGUGUUGCACAUCAACCAGGCCAGACAGUGUGAGGAGCACUUCCUGUAAAUCCUGUCAUUCAACUGUCUGAAAACCCCUUGAGCCUGGACCAUCCUCUCUGCCUGCAGUACCCCAGACCCUCUUUCCCUUCUGUCCCCAGUAAAUCCCAUCUCUCUGCUUAGAAUAAGCAAUUGGCCAUGGAUCAGGAGGCCCAGAUCUAUGCCAGCCUCUGCCACUUUCUCAUUGUGUGACCCAAAGCCACAUGUCUCAGUUUCCCCAUCUGUGUAUUGAGUGCUCAUCUUGGAGAUCUGACAUUUCUUUUCUGCAAGUGGGCUUGAAUUGUCAAUUCAACACACCUCCUGUGUGACUUUGGAGGAGUCACUUAAAGUCUCUGGGCUGGGCUAACCUGCUCACCCAGAAGCCCUGCAAUUGGAAACGGGGCACCUUCCCCUGCCCACCUUGAUUCCCAUUCAGUGUCAGAGCUUGAACAGAAACUCCAGCUCCACUCCCAAGCCCCUCAAGAUGCCAGGGACACUCAGGCUGCCUCCCUAGCCAAUCCCUCAGGGCGAGAGACAGGGAAACACCUGCACUCCAGAACUGAUAGUCUAAAAACAGCAGCCAGGGCCCACCUGUGGAGGAUGAAGAGGAAUGCACCCAGGGCCUGAACUGCCCAGAACUUCAGACCCUGGAUACAAGCCCCAGGGAUGGGGAAGCUAAGCAGCCAGUCCCCCAGCUCGGAGAAGGUGGGGGGAACAGAGCCCAGGAGAAUGGGAGUAGGGAGGCUUAGGGACAACCUUUGAAAAAUUUAAAAACUGAUACAAACUUUAUUUUAUUAUUUUUAUCUCCAUCAUAAAAACAAUGCCCAGGCACCCGCAGACAGAGCUGGUGGGAGUAUAAAUUGGUACAAUAUUUUGGAAAACAAUCGAGUAAUAGUGAUUCAAGUUAAAAUAUAUAUAUCUUUUGACCCAGCAAGCCCAUAUCUAGGAAUUUACCUUACAGAAAUAUACACUAAAUGCCAGGAAAUGUACAUACAAGAAUGUUCCUAGGAGCACUGUUUGUAAAAACAGGGAGAAACUGCAAACCAAUAGGGGACUUGCUGGUGAAACAUGGGGCAUCCACACAAAGGAAAGAAAUGCAGUUGGUUUUUUUAAUGAGGCAGAUCUAUACAUGCUGUCAGAGAGACAUUUCCAAGACCAAUUAGAAGGGAAAAAAAGAAAAUUGAGUAACUGUGCAUAAAAUGUGAUCACAUUCUUAUAAAAAGAAAAGACUCCAGGGGCCUGAAAACCAAACUGCCAACUCUUGAAUGGUGGGUGUCGGGAGGUCAGAGGAGAUGGGCGAUGUUUAUUUUCUACACCGGGCAUUUCUGAAAUGUUUGAAAGCUUCUAUUAGUCAGAAAAACAGUAACAAUAACAGUAUUCAUUUUCAAAUUAAAUUAGCACACUCUGGUAACAAAAAAAAGUGUUUUGUAUUGUUUUGUUUUUUAAUGUGAAUUCUCAACACCCAAAGGUGUAUUUUUAACAUUUGGUUGCAUUUCUUUCAGUAUUUUAAAAUCAGUUUUUCAGGCAUAGUUAUUAUUGAUCUGUAUGUAUAAUUUAACACCCUAGGGUUUUUAAAAAAAAAAAAAAACUCGUAUUAUAGCAUUAAGCAUUUCCCAGCUAGCAUGAAUGUAAACAAUGUUUUCAUUGCCUGUGGAGUAUUCUGG
RNAcentral lists this long non-coding RNA (3683 nucleotides) under Homo sapiens (human). RNAcentral describes it as "HSALNT0004147". The record is from RNAcentral. Lineage: Eukaryota; Metazoa; Chordata; Mammalia; Primates; Hominidae.